GAUGAACGCUGGCGGCGUGCCUAAUACAUGCAAGUCGAGCGAAUGGAUUAAGAGCUUGCUCUUAUGAAGUUAGCGGCGGACGGGUGAGUAGCACGUGGGUAACCUGCCCAUAAGACUAGGAUAACUCCGGGAAACCGGGGCUAAUACCGGAUAACAUUUUGAACCGCAUGGUUCGAAAUUGAAAGGCGGCUCCGGCUGUCACUUAUGGAUGGACCCGCGUCGCAUUAGCUAGUUGGUGAGGUAACGGCUCACCAAGGCAACGAUGCGUAGCCGACCUGAGAGGGUGAUCGGCCACACUGGGACUGAGACACGGCCCGGACUCCUACGGGAGGCAGCAGUAGGGAAUCUUCCGCAAUGGACGAAAGUCUGACGGAGCAACGCCGCGCGAGUGAUGAAGGCUUUCGGGUCGUAAAACUCUGUUGUUAGGGAAGAACAAGUGCUAGUUGAAUAAGCUGGCACCUUGACGGUACCUAACCAGAAAGCCACGGCUAACUACGUGCCAGCAGCCGCCGUAA
This 515-nucleotide ribosomal RNA is filed under the name uncultured bacterium. RNAcentral's name for it is "partial 16S ribosomal RNA". It matches the Rfam family "Bacterial small subunit ribosomal RNA", at positions 28 to 523 of the family's 1533-position model. The record is from RNAcentral.